GCCCACGGAUAAGCAAUCCAAGGAGAAGAGAGUAGGGUCUGCGCCCAACUUGACUCCCUAUAAAAGGAGGGGAGGUGGCUGCGAGCAUGCCAUCAGCGUUGGGUCGAUGGUGUUGUGCCUCGGCAGCCGGGAUCAUGCAAUGCAGAUGGGAAGCAGCAGUGCCGCCUCUCCCCCCGAGCUCCAGAUACAUGAUAGCAGCAUCGAGGAGGAGAAAAACUACAUUCAGAGGUUACAGAAUGGCAAUGGGUGGCAUGGUUAGUGAUCACUAGGCCAUGAAUCUCAUGGAUCCCAUGAUACAGGUAUCUGGUCCAGAUCCGACGGAGCCAAGCAAAAUCAUGCUGCUGCUUCUUCUUUCGAUUGAAAAUCCAGGUGAAACCUUUCAAGAACUCACGACGACACGCAAUGAUUAUAUUUCAUUGUGAUGGCCGCUGCCGACACAGCUACUAUGGGUACACGCAACUUCUAUUUCGCUCGUCACCGGAAACCACCGCCCAGAUCCAUCUCUUCUCAACCAUGCCGACGUGGUGGUCAGGGGCGCUUACAACUUGUGAGGACCUGCGUUCUCGCUGUUGAUCCGUGAUGGCAUGGCCUCCCCGCGCCCUAGCCGUGUUCUAGCUGAUGGUUUGGGUCUGCCAGCGGAGGGAGAGGGGGACGACCUCUGUCGCUCCUUCUUUCUAGCCUCUUCAUCUUGAUGAAGCCGUAGGAGUAGAGGGGCACACGCGUGAUGGAUUUGCUCCAAGCACCUCAAGCCACGCAUCUUCAAGGUGAUCACUUCAUCCACAUUCAAUGUCAGU
Molecule: long non-coding RNA, 794 nt
Organism: Triticum dicoccoides
Lineage: Eukaryota; Viridiplantae; Streptophyta; Magnoliopsida; Poales; Poaceae
Exons: 4
Source: RefSeq, a predicted model, not a curated record